AUCUUUAGUCCCAGUUUAUCCGUGCUUGGUUUAUUUAUGUGUCUGGAAACUUUGGAGAUGUAGAGGACUGGCCACUUCAAUGGAGACACUGAGAAUUAGGUGGUAUAGAUAGGAUUUAUCAUAGGGAACACCAGAGAAAAGAAACAGAACUAACUUAAUGGACUUGCCUUAUCAUUCCAUUUGUUUUUCUCCAUCUCUUUUGGUCUUUCUUGCCCAUGAUUCUGGGGUGGUUGUUGUUGUUGCUUACGCAAUGUCUGAAAUUUGUGUUGCUGGCAAGAUUUUUUUCAAGGAUACAAAAUAUGUAUGUGCUCCUACAAGUAGUGUUUCUAAGGAGAUCCACCUUACAUUGAAGUGGCUGAUACAAUUGGAGGCAGUCUUUGUCUUUAGGGCCCUUUUGACGGGCAACCAGAGUGUGUGUAUGUUGUACAUAUUGACUCCACUGAGCUCAAUUUUUUGGUUCCAGCCAAAACUGACAAGGAAACAGAGGUCCCAGAGGCAUUAUGUUUGGGCAAGAUUUCUAAAUAUAGGUAGCUGAGCAAAAGUGAGACUCAACUAAGGCCUUUGCUGAGGGAAAGGCUGGAUGGAGUUUAGAUGUUAUUAUGCACCAGAAGGUCUUGUACUGAAAGACAUGGUUUAGUGGGAAAUACUGAAGAUAGGUGGACAGCUGAACUGGAUGAUCCUAGAGGUCUUUUCCAACCUUAGUGUUUCUAUGAUUCUAUUAUGGGGGCAGGAGAGGAUUUCACUUGGCACAUAAUACGUUUUACUGGAAUAAAAACAAGAGUAGGGACAGGAUGUAAUUUGUUGUGUUGCAGGUGGGGCAAUGAAUUGCUAUUUCAAAAUAGACCCGGCCCUGUGCAGAGUCUGAAUGACCCGACGACUCAGGCUCAAGGUCUUUGCAUGGUGAGUGUACCUUCAGCAAGGUCAAGGCAGCACAGUCAGUGCAGAUGAGCACUCAGGGCCCUCUCUGAAGAGGACUGCAGAGGCCCAGCAGCCUGCUGCCUCUUUGCACCUCACAGUACAGCCAGGUUGGGUGGAAUAAAGUGGUUUCCCCAUCCCCAGAUCCCUGCCUGGGUCAGCACCAGCAGCACAGAUCGUGUUGCCUGUAGCUCAAGUGCCCUCUUCUGGCAUGAAAUGUUUCAUUCCUCAAUGGCACACAACUGAACGGAAGGGAAUGUUUUUUCUGAUGGUUGCUAAAAUCAAGAACAAAGCAGGUUUUCUAUUCUUUUUUUUCCACCCUAUAUCCUGGCUUGCCUUGGCAGGGUAUAGAGGUCAGUGAGAAGCCUUCCUGUUGUACCAGCCUGGCUGUGUCACAGCACAUCUUGGUGGGACUGUGCUAUAAUGAGAUCUUGUUUGCAUCUCUGAGGUCAUUAAAAAUGCUUGUUUUCUCCUUUGUAUGUUUUGUUUCAUUUUGUUUUGUUUUCCUGCCUUGUCUAUAGCUGGUAUAAAUCUGGAGAUAUGUUGAUUUACACCAGAUGAGAAUUUGGAAUCCUUCUCUUGCUUAUGGUUUCUGCUCUCUGCUGUAUAUAAAUCAUAUGUUGUCUAUUCUUGACCUGUUGAUGUCAAUAGUUUUCACUGCGGAUCCCUUUGGGAUCCCAUGUUGACCUGUAUUGAUUAGGAGGGAAUGCUCCGUGAUGAAAUGUGAGGAGAGGAGAACGUGCAGCUACUGUCAGAGGAGUUCCCACACUGAGCACUCCGAGGGGAAGGGAAAGUUUGAUACACUUGUUAAUGUGAAUUCAAGGUUAGCAGUAAACAGCACAGCAACUGCAUCUGUCUGUGGAAGGAUUUAAACUCACCCUUUAAUAAGAAAAAGGAGUUUCCUGCUCUGCUUUAUUGCAUCAGUUAGUGUCAUGGGCCUUUGCAUGUGCUGUAAAUUUUUCUCUAUAUUUAAGGAGCAUUUCAAGCUAUAAUUGAUUAUAGCUGAAUUUGUGUUAUAAAGUAGGGAACAAUAGGUUAAGGUAUUUACACCAUGAAACGAGUCUGAGCCCGAUUCCUAUUUAGAUCCUUUAUAGCAGAAGGGUAGUGGUUUUCUCCUCCCUCCCCUGGUAACAAGCAUUGUCUCAGCUAUUGAGUACAGUGCUGUAUUAAUAAUUCUGUACUUACUGUAGGCUCUCUGAAUGCAAAUCGUUCGCACACAAGCUAGAUUGGCAUAAGCCAGUUUGAGAAUCACAUAUACAACUUGCACUGCCCUCCACUGGGUUUGUGGGGAGUGAAAGGAGCUGGAAUCAGGAUUGCCAGGUUUUGCAAAGCGCCGAGCUGGAAACAGAAAUUCAGCUUCUCCUUUCAAGGUGAAAAGGACAGAAGAGAUUCUAGAGGUUUUGGUCUGCUUGAGGCUCUUCUUGCAGUGGUCCCUGCUUUAUUACAUGCACUUUAAAACUGCCAUAUGCUGACAUUGUUUUUUUUGUGGUCACUUUGCUAUUAGGUAUUUAAAUGAGAUCUCAGGACUGAGGUUGAGGAAAUGUGAUUUCUAAUGAUGCAGUUUUAUUUUAACUCCAUGCCUGUGUUUCUCCCUGAGUCCUGGGUGCUUAAAUAAUGUUUGAACAGAGACAGUCUGUGGCUCUGCACAGCAUCUGGCACAAAGAAAUCAUGUUCUUGGUCAGACCCUCGCACUGUUACCACACCGAACCCACCAGUGCAUGGAGGUAAGGACACAUAUCAAGAAAUGAGAUAUGAGACAACCUAAGGGUUCUCAAGCCAACACAUGUUGGGAUGUUUCAGCAGUUAAUGUGAACAGACACAAUUGGAAAUAACAGUUUGUGCUCAAGAAUUACCUUAUGACUUUCUAAGGGAUUAUCCUUUGUAUGAUAGAAGGAUAAAGUGAACAUGCUUCUCUUCCGAGGUUUCAUUUUAAAGCUACUACACAGCAUGGGAAAAAUAUAUACAUGAAUCUGUGUGUGCAUUAGAUACACAUACAUAAGAGAACUUUUUUCUUUCAGUAUGUUCUCAAGAUUCAUGAAGCAAAUGAAUUAUGACAGAGAGAAACUCUCAGGUCUCUUUGUGUCGGGGAGAACCAAACCACCACUGCAGGGAACAAAGGUGCCCCUCUAUCAGUCCUCUGCAGACAGCCCUAGAACUGGAGCAGCCCAGAGUAAUGGUGCAGAGAAGUUGGUACGAUAACAAAGCAAAGCAAAGUAUAACAGGAUGACAGCGCAAGGCAGCAAAAAUAGGUGGCUUUUGUAUGACUAUAAUAGCACCACCUGCUUUCAGAAUGUUAGUCAUCCCGUAAAUGUGUCCAUUCCAGUGAAUAUCCUUGAGGGAGCUGACACAGAAAUCCAUAGAAACGAGGCACGAAUCUGAGCAGAGACAGGGGAGAAGUGCAGAGACUCGCCAGGCUGAAAGCAGCGACUGGUGGGGGGAAAGCGAGCAGCCUGAAAUGUGUGCUUGUGUGUGGGUGUGUAUGGGGUAGCUGAGGAGAAGUACGUAUGUUUCUCAGAGGGAAGAAUUUGCUUCCUUCCCAACACACCUCAGCUCCUGCUGCUUUCUUUGAUUUUCCUCUAGUGGGGCCAACGUAGGCACUCAGUGAUGAUAAACAACCUGGUAUUGCAGGGUGACACGCACAGUGACACGGGAAUAUGGAGAGAAAGAAAAGAACCCAAAAGGACAGAGUUUGUGUGAUAUAUUUACGUCCCAUGUGUGCUGUGCAGUGCAGGAACCUUGGGAACCUCAUCCCAGAAGUCCUGCUGCUGCAUAGUGGGGAGAAUGCCAAACCCCCCAGCCUUGCUAGCUGAAACAGCUCCCUGAGAAACACAUCCUUUUCCUGAUGAGCUGUGUUUGCAGCAAUCCUGGUAGGAGGUUUAAAUCUUGUUUGAUCAGGGCAUUUGGGGUCUUUCUGUUUGGUAUGUAUGUAUGGUUUUGUCUUUCAGGAUAGCUGUGUUCAUCUGUGAGUUCAGUCGCUGAGUCUGCCUGGCUUUGGGCAAGUCACGUAGUCUUCUUCUUGCAUCUCACGAUUAGCAGGCUUUCAACUUUGUGAUCAUAACAGGUUUGGUUUUUGUUGUUGUUGUUUUUCUAACAUUGCAUUUGUGUGUGCAACUUCCUGAAUUUUGCCUAAGCAAACUGAGAGCAGAAGUGAUGUUGUGCUGACACGCACAGUGCACCAGCAGGGCCGUACCUUCAGCUCCAUUGCACAUGGUGCUGCUAACAGAAUAGCACGCUGUCGUUCUUUGCUGGACCAAUGUAAGGAAGGAAAAAAGGUACAUUUUGCCAGAGGGAUUCCUGACCACUUACUCAUUAUGAGGAAUCUGAAUUCUGUUUGUGACUCUGUGAAGAGCUCGCAGACUUGGUGCUUUGCUCUGCCUGUCCUUUCCUCCGGCAGCCUUCUUGAAUGAAAACACAGGACAGGAGGAGGAAUGACGUUGUCUAGACAAUGACACAGGGCUAGGACACAGUCUGGUGAGAUAAAAGGAGAAGGGAACAGGCACACAGAGCAAAGUGAUUUGCCUAAAUCUGCACAACCAGAUCUCCUGACUCCUUCACUCUCCCUCCUGUGGCUUCUCUUUAGGAGAUGAAGUUGAUUGAUUGAAAUUGCCCUUUUUACUGAUUACCAUUUUAAUAAUCUGCCCAGUAAUGUCAGAAAUCCUGCAUGAGAGAUGUUGGUGGUUUUUUUUUGGUGCAAUCUGUUUGUCACUUGCAUUUCUUUCAGGUAGGAAUCAAAAUCAGACCAGUUGUGUUCUCUUUAUAUUUGAGUUAUCCAGGCAUAGCACGGUGCUACUGCUGCAGCUGCAUUCUCACAUGACAGGGGAAUAUUCUUAUUACAAGGAAGUGAAAAUUAAAAACAAAAACACCUCCCCUCCCAAAAUAAAUCUACCUGCAAAAAGAAACCAUGAACUCUUGGGUCUUGGGAAAAUCUCUUUGUGUAUCCAUGUACGCUUCAUCUCCUUGGCAAUGGCCAUUUUGUGUAACAUCCCUGCUUUUUCAGUGUGGGAUGGACGCUACUGUUGUCUUCUUCUUUGCCAAUUCUAUUUCCUCACAAACCCCUUUGCCUGUUUUCAGUCACUUCUUAUGCCUUUUUUGACCACAGAAUCUCUAAGGAGAAGAUGGCCCUUAGUGCUGACAGGGAGUCUUUGUCUUGGAGUCUUCCCUGACCACCCUGCUCCUUCAGGUUUUAAAUAGGUGAAUAAUAACCCAGCUCCAUGCCCUGGGGUUCUGAUUCUUGAUGGGUUUUCCCACAUGCUGUCAGGCUGCAAAUAAAUAAUACUUGCGAGAAAAAGAGACUGAAGUCAUCUUGGCUUCUUCCACUGAGAGCCAAAUGGUGCAGCGGCCGCAAUGCAAGAAGAAAGGAUAUUCCUGCUCCCCACUCAUUUGGCUGACAGCGUAAUCACUCGAAGUAAUAAAUCUUCACUAGCAACUAAUGGAAAUGCAAGUGGAAUGAGAGUGCUAUCAGAGGAGAAGCUGUGAGGGAGCUUCUGCCAUUGUGGAAGAGAAAAAGGGCCACAAGCUCUCCUUGCUGCUGGGUCCAAAAUGGAUUCCAGUGACCACAUCCAUCUCACAGCUCAGCCCUGGCCCUCCCCCCACUCCUUACCUGUGGCCUCUGUGCCCACAGCUGUGGGGCUGAGGAGCAGGGGUUGUGUGCUGGCCCUGUAGUGGCCUUAAUACGCACCUGAGCAGCAUGACGUGGGGCCAGCAAUAAAUGGCAGAGAUCUGGAGCAGCAAGCUGCCUGCUGUGCUCGCUCCUUAACCCUUUGGGAGCAAGCACUUCCCACAGCUUCAUGAGCAAACAAGGACAAAAAAAGCAAGCAUGGAGCUGAAACAUUUUAUUUCCCCUACCGGGCCUGCCAAUUAACCCUGUCAGGAGUUAGAAAACCACACUGGGCGCAUCAACAGAAAAUGAGCUGAGGAGGGAGAGUGUUUGAGGGAAGGCAGUGCAGAGACCUAAUCAGCUCCCUAUCUCUUGGAAGAGCUGAGCCGUAGCACAGGGACAGCAGGAGUGAGUUUGCAAACACCGUGCUUCAGAAACCGCUGCAGGGUAAAACAGCCUGAGAAGGCCAAAUCCUGAUGGGGGUCUGUCUCUAAGCUGUCUGGCUGCUCUGUGUCUGUCCCUUUGCAAAUGUCACCACCAGCAUCUGGUUGCUGUAUUGUCUGUGAUGACUUCGUGAUGGGCUUGAGGCUUUAAAGAAGGCUGGAGGGGAGAAGGAGGCAGCCAAGACCUCUGCUUGGAGCAUAAGUCUUAUGAGAAGUGGCUGAGGGAACUGGGAUUGUUCAGUCUGGAGAAGGGGAGGCUCAGAGAAGACCUUAUCUCUCUCUAAAAGGCCCUGAAAGGAGGUCGUGGUGAGGUGGGUGUUCACCUUUCCUGCUAGGUAACUGUGAUAGGAUAAGAGGUAAUUGCCUCAAGUUGCACAAGGGGAGGUUCAAGUUGGAUAUUAGGAAAAAUCUCUUUGCCAAGAGUGGUCAGACAUUGGCACAGACUGCUCAGUGAGGUGGUGGAAUCACUGUCCCUGGAAGUGUUCAAGAAUCAUGGAUAUAUGGUACUUAGGGAUGUGGUUUAGUGGGCAAUAUCAGUGGCAGGUAGAUGGCUGGACUGAAUCAUCUUAGAGGUCUUUUCCAACCUGAAUGGUUCUGUGAUUCUGUCUGGGGGUCUGCCUGCCCAGGACUUAUCCUGUUGGCAUUGGCACUUGGUUCUGCUUAUGUUUUCUGUGGCAUUACAUGAGCUGUUUGCCUCUUCCUUUGCUCCAGAUAGUGGAAAGUUUGAGUUGGGCUGAAAAUAGGAGCAACUGGGUGAGUUGGGUGAAGCAUGGUACACACAGGAUGUAUUUUGAGUGUCUCCCUUUAAAGAUUAUGAAGAGGCAGUGAACAGAGCAGAGCCUUGUGCUCAGUCUCAUCCAGAUGGUGGUUUGGUCUGUUUGCUUUGAGGAUGGUGGAGAACUGACCAGACAUCAAUUUGGCACCUUGGGUACAGCCUUCUCCUCCCUGGCCUCCCAAUGCACUAUUCACACGUCCCUGGACCCUAACCCUCUUCCUGCUCACUGCUUUUCUGGUUCCUCUCGGAUACUUGUGGGCUGUAAGGGCUGACAGUGCUUUCUCUGCCUUAGCAGAAAAAUAAUAGCAUAGAGGAAUAGUACAGAUAGGGGGAAAAAAGGCCUGUUUUGAAGUUGAGCUGUACAGAGUUAAUAUUCUGACUCUCAGGCCAUGAAAUCAAUCUUCCAGGUGAAUUUGUGAUCUUUCAAAUUCAUUUUGGGCAUGAUGCACAUCUCAAAUGGAACUGGCUGCAGAUUUUGACGUCAGUAAGUGCUUUCUUCCCUUCAAAAGAGCACAGCCUGGAUUUCAUCUUGUUUUUACACCUUCACUUCUCCUUGUAAGGCUCAUUGUCACCACCAGGUCUGGUGUCAUCCAACUGCGGCAGUGAGACCAACACUCUGUGCUGCAGAAAAUCCCAGAGCACAACACUCAGCAGCUGCCAAAGCUUUCUGCUGGCACCUGCUCAAGGCAAGAGAGAGAGAAAUAUCACUUUGUCUGCCUCCCUUCAUUGCUGCCCACCAGGAAACCAAUAUAGACAGCACUUUGCUCGUUUGCUUGAGAGACGUGCAGGUUAGAUGAGCAAGGCAGACACCUUCAGCCUUUUUAGCCUUUUGUAUAAUGCAUGUUCCCUUUGUCCCAUUCCACUUUUACUUGUAGCAUUCCUGCUGCCCCAUCUUACCGCUCUCUAAGAAGCCGACAGGGAUUAGCAUUUUGCUGUGCUUUUCUCCUGUGUUUUCCCACCUGCCUUUAAAUUGUGUGAGUCUAAUUGUUUUGGGCACUAAAGCUGAUGAUGGUUGCCUUUGGGCAAGCAACGAAGGGAUACUUUUAGCAAGGCAGUUUUGAGGAAGAUCAGGUGUUUCUGAUGGUUGUUGGGACAAGUUUCCUCUCAUCUCCCUCCUCCCCCUGCCUUGAUUCCCUUCUGACUCAUGGGCAGCUGCUGACACCCUGUCUCUCUGUGUAAAUUGGGUUGAUAAUAAAUAUAUUAAAUCCCUUCCUCAUGGAAGAAACCCUGCAAGUCAAGAAGGUCAGCUUCUUGUCAACUGUCUUCUUUUUCACCUGCUGGCUCUCUUGUCUCAUUCUGUCAUUGCUUGCCCCAUGUUCUCCCUUGAUCCACGUGCAUGUUUCCAAGAUCUGUUUCUGAGAUUUCCAAGAUCUGUUCUCUUAAACGCUGCUGAGCUCGUACUAUUCUUUAUAUAUGACAUCAAGGAGUUACACAGGUGAUCAGUGCAUACAGGGAACCCUGUGUGCUGAGCAGGGCCUCCACAUGAGAUCAGGGCUCGCCUGGUCUGGUCCCUCUAGGGCAAUGCUGAGCACUUUGACAGAACUUCUGCUUGACUGAAAACUUACAAAACUGAAUGGGAGAGGUGUAGCUUCAUCACCCCAAAAUAGCUUUAAUAUGCAUAGAUAUUGUAUGAAGAAAUAUUUUGUUAUACAUAAAUUGAGUUAUAUUAGGUAAAAGAUGCUUUCCUCCCAGGAAAAGUGGUAGAGAUGGUAUUGAAAUAGGGGAAAAGCAUACUCAUCCUCUGCAGAGAAUGUAGCUGCACUGAGCAGCUGGUGUGCAGCAGAAAACCAAACAAGGCAACAAACCAACCCAAGCUUGUUUUCAUGUCCCGCUAGCACAAGAUGAACAAAAACAUAAUAUAAGGAAUUGUGAUUCAAUAGAUGAGAGUGAACGAGUUAAAACAAAAAUAACAAAAAUCUUCCUGGUGCUAUUUGUAGCACAGACCGUAAUAGAUGGAGGUUAUUUCUAUUUCCAAAUCAGUGUUCUUUAGAGACAGCCGGGUUUAUAAGGAGAGGCUGGAAUUUUUAAAAACACAUUUUCUAUGCGUCGGAACAGUUCAUGUGAGGCUCAAGACUUGACUUGUCUGACCUCAGGCAAGGCUAUGCACUUUGAUAAAGCUUUUAGUGACGAUCGAGUUUGACUGAAUAGUACUAAAACUGAAGCAAACUGGGAAACAUAGGGCAGAGAACAGUGAAGCAUCCACCCAAUUUUUGCAAUCAGGUCAUCAAGGACUUCCUGUUCCAGAGGCAGCAUCAGGUCAUCAUUUUUAAUAGCCACUGAUCUCUUCGUUGUUCCCAAUUCAAUAUCUAAAUGUUACUUACAGCAGUGACUCAAAGAUUAGGAAUCUGCAAAGAACACAAAAAUGCAAGAAGAUACAAUAGCUUGAAAGGAAAUAAGAAGAUACUUUUUCUAAGCUUGUUCUAUAAAAGAGGUAAGAAAUUAAUUUACAAGCAGCGAACAAAGCACUUUUUCUUGGGCAGUCAAGACUUGACCUUCGAUGGAAUCUGAACACAAGAGGGUUCCUCCAGUCCUUCCUCCAGUCCCACUCUGGUAAUGUAGCACAGCCCCACUCUACUGGAGAUGAAUGGAGCUGAUGCAGGUACUGUGAUCUCUCUGAUGUUAUGGCACAGGGCAAAUGGCCCCAGUGCUUGGCUAAGCUUUGUAGGGGUGUUUUACAGGUGCUGUGUGCUUUGCAGCAGAGGAAUGCACAUCCCCUUGUGACUAAACAUGUGACACCAGGUCAGGAAAACAAUGAGUUUGACCGGCUGAAGAGUAGAAAUCUCAGAGAGUGGAAGGAGGGAUUUUGUACUGUCCUGCAGAUUCUGUGGUCUGGAAGUCAGCUUAGGGCAGGCAUAUGGCAGAAUUUGGAGAAGUGUGACCACAUCUUUGCGGAUGUGUGAAGAUAAGGAGUAGAGUAACAGAGCUGGGGAUGGCGUUUGUCAGGAUUCAGGCUAUACCAAUGCUUCAGUCUUUACCAGGGUGUUCCUGCUUAGCAUACAGAUCACUUCUGUCACCUCCUGGAGCUCUCUCCAUGUGCUGCGCAGGGAGUAAAGAAAUGGAUCCCAACCCUUGUGUUCUACCUGGGCCUUGGACACCAAAAGGUAGGUUGGUGUCUUUCUCAUUGUUUCCUGAGCCCUUUAGGGAAUUUGACUCUUUACAUCCUCUUGCAGCUGUGUUUCUUUCAUGGGCGCAGAAUUAACUCAGUUACACUUUUAAUUAUUGGGCUUUUAGUUCAAGUUUGCAAAGUGUUGUCUAAAGGAUUGCAUCCAGUUGGAGCCAUCUGGAAGGGACAGGUUAGAGAGAAUCAGCUGCCUCUGAAAAAAACACCCAGAAAAACAUUUAAAGAAUCUUGAUGUGUAAUUACAGUGUGAAACAACAAAACCCCAGCUUAACCAACACCUCUGCAGCUUUGUGCCAUGGCCCUGGGGAGAUCCUUCUCUCAGGGGGGCUUAGUAAGUCGGCUUCUGAGCAGGCAAGAGGAGUGAGACAUGGUGGAAAGCUGAUGGAUUUGGUCUCCAGGGCAGGAGUGGUUGGUUGGUGAUGGUAUUUUUUUUUAAUGACUUUUCAGUCUCCAUCUGUCAGCAGUUUCAUGUGCUGACACUGACGACUGCGUUAGAGGAAGCAGCACCUCUUGGCUUGGUGGCAGCCUGCUAGUGGGAGGGCAGAGGACAGGGCUGUAUGUGUGAGUGUAUCUCUAGGGGAGGCUGGAAGCCAUACAGAAAUGAAAUGGAGCCAGGUUCAGAUGUCUGCAGCCUAACCACUUCCAAAGCAGAAUAAACAACACAAUAUUUCAGCUUUUCACCAUGAACAAUAAUCAGCUUUCUGUUUUCAAACAAUUUUCUACGAACAGCACAAAUACAGGAAGGACAUCAAAACUGUUCUGCAAAUGCUGAGCUUACAUGGAGAAUCAUUUUGCAAAAUGCUUUUAUAGCAGUGAUUUCUUCCAUCUUUCUUAAGUUUCAAAGUUGAGUGGCCAGGGUGUACUUGAUGCUUCUGACAGCCAACUAGCAAUGUGUCAAGAGUCAUGAGUGAAGGGUUGCAUUUGUUUGGUCAGCUCUUGAUUGCUCUGACCCACCUAACCACUUGUGAUCCUAAAGGAAGUUCCUUUAAUAACAUUGUUGUAAUUUAGAGAUGUAAUUGUUUCUGCCUUAAGCAGACGAUCCCAAAGUCACACAGACCAUGCAUAACCACGCAUGCCAAGGUCGCACAGGAACUCAGAACCAGAACCCUGAACAAUUUUCCAUCUCAGCCUCUGUUGUUUAAAUGCUAAUUCACCUGUCCCCGUGGUGUUCCUCAGGGCUCAACCCUCGUGGAUGUUGAAGACCUUGUUCCUGACACUUGGUGUUUUGGGUGAAUGCAUCAUCUACAAUUCACAGAGUAAGAAAGGACAGAUAGUGUCUGAAAGAUCCUCUGCUGUUUGUCUGGAGGAGUCUCUUGUGUAGAAUUUUGAAAAUGGUGACUGCAGUACAUUCAUUUUUAACCAAAAUGGUGCUACAUCCAAAAUCCAAGGAACAUGUUCAAUAUGAACAUUCGCAACCCUGGCUUUCUCCUGAGAAGAAUAUGCGUUCCUCCUAAUUAAGGCUGGCUGUCUAUCCAGCUAUUCCCACUGCUGGCUGCCAGCAAUAGUGCCCAUUGUAGUGUGGGUGGAAAAUAUGCAGUUUUCAAAUCUCAUUUAUUCUGUAUAGUCUUACAUUCUCUCAUGAACAGGCUGCUCGUUCUCAGUGGAAAGGAAAAAAAAGCGAACAAGCCAAACUGCUCCAGCAGCAGUGUGGUCUCAGCCUACACACAUAGAUAAGACAAGGGGACAUUUGCCUCCGCGUCUCUUUUCCUCUGCCAUGUCUGGCUCCCAUAACUUGCUCUGUUUUUUCUAAUAGUUUCCCUGCCCAAAGUUGUCCCUCCACAUGUGAUUUUAUGGAUUAUUGGACUGUACGGGUUAUCUGAGGAUUUAUUUUCCCAGGCUGGUACUCUUAAAUGAGUGUGAACUAUCUGAUAUGGGGAUUAAACACAUGAAAUGUAAAGGCUGUCAUGGGGCAUCCCAUCCUGGCCCAUAACGUUGUCUGUAUACAUAAAGAUUCUUAGCAAUUCAUUUCACAGUGGCCCCUUCAAACCAUAAUCGUUGAUUCAAAUUAAUGAUCUAAGGAGGAGUGUCACUUGCAUGUCCUAAGGCUAGUCGGUCCCAGCAAGAAAAAAAAGCAAACCCUCUGAACAGCAGUUAGCAGAUCUAUGUUUCUUACUGUCUCUUGGUGGGAGAAUGUGAUUAUGUGGUGAGCAGGAAGGUUCAGAACACUCAGAUUUGAAAUUUCAAGUGAUUGAUCAUUACUCUAAAUGCCUGGUUGAGUCUUAUGUCUAAUUGGUAUUUUGAAACACUACUUAUUUUUUCCUCUAAGCCUUAAUGUGCUAGAAGGACUUGUCAGAGGUUCCUGCUUAGACAGACUCAAAGGAUGGCCUGCACUCGCAGCUGAUUUGACUGAUACAUGGGGCAUCAACCUUGCUAACAGAUGAGAUUCUAAUAAAAGCAGAUCCUUCACUAAGAACCCAUUUUUUUUUCUCUAGUGCUUUACACCAGUGCAUUGGAUAUUGUUGGGAUAUUGCUGUUUUCUGGUAAGGCAGAUGACAAAAGCUGUGUCAUAACCUUAGCUCUGAUUAGAAAUGGACACACACUUCCAGGAAUAGUGACAGAAGCUGUAGACUGGGAAUAAUCAAUAAUUGCUCUUUUGGCAAAUAGAUGACCCUGUGGGCUCACAGAAAAGAUUUAUGGAAGGCAAUGGGUUUUUCUUAUGAAAAAGAACAAUAAGGGAUAAAAUGUCUGUUCCAGAACUGUCGUCAGUAUAUAACAGUGGCUGAUUUAAACUGAAAUUCUGUUCCUUCCUUGUGGUAUAUUCGCAUUGAAUGUGAUGAAAAGGCAGGCUAAAAUUGCUGUGAAAAGAGUACGCAUGCACCACAUCAAACAAUGGGUUCAGUGAUGCUGUGACAGCUGCCAGUGUGUCUCUUUGUACGAGAUGUGUAGGCACAUCAACUGGUUAGUGAGUGAAGAUUAGCACAGAGAGCAUAAAGGGAGGAAUAGAUAUUAGGGAUGUGGUAGCAGAGGAGCCAUUGUGAUGGCUCAAGUUUUAGACCUUCCUUUGGCUUUGAGCUGACUGUGGAAAGGAAAAACUCAUAGCACAUCUCUGAAAAUGCUCAACAAGGUCUUUGCUAGAAGUGGUGUGGUCAGAAGAGAAAGGAAGUUUCCAGUAUUUGUUUGGUGUUGGAUUCAGAAGUUGGACCAUCUUAGCAGAUACAGGUGAGCAGGGGGAACCAUCUAGUGCUAUUCCCCAACAGGAAAUGUUAGACAGACCAUUCACAGAGAACACUGAAAUGCUGCAACUUUUGGACCACAAAAUGUGGAUGACUUAAAUACACUGAAGUACUGAAAACAGGUGAAAAUGUCCAAACCCAAGGCUUGUAAAAUGUGAGUGAAUAUUCACUGCCACUUGUUUGCAUUGCUCUCUGAUCUCUGUGAAGAAAUUCUUUAAAUUCCAUUUGGAGAAACUCUGGUGGUGUGAAUAGCGGUGCUUUAAUUUACAUUGCUUUAGCUCCCAAGAAGCUCCAUUUCCAAUAGUGAUUUGAACUCCGAAUCCUGGCCUGAUUGAUCUUGUCUCACCUGACAAGUCACAGUUGCCAUUGUCUUAAUGCCUGAAUUGGAGCCCAAAAAUGUACAUAUUUGUACAGGGAUAUGACUUGCCAUUCUACUAAAUGAAGCAAUGCAAAUAAUAAUAGUUUUCACUGAAGUAGCUUUAUAGCCAUCUCUGAUUUCAGCCUCAUGCUGGGUAUGUGCAGAGUGCUGCUAGGAUGUGUUAUUGUUUGGUUCACGUUGAAAGACUCUGACGUUCCUGUGUCAAUUGGAGCCCCAUCGUGCUACGGACAUCAGUAGUGCUCAGGAAUGAAGUUGGAGAAACAGCACAAACAAAGGGAGAAAGAAAAAGGUCUGAUGCUUUGACUUACAAGGUUAGAGAACUGAACACACACAAAAAACUAUUUGUCAGUGGGAUCGUAUGCCCUCUCACAAGUUGGGUCCUAUAUGUCAGGUCACAGUGGGACCUCCUUUCACAGCAGUGGUGAGGCUGACGUGACAGAGAGUAAAACAAGCUCUCCUGUUCCGUGACCCUGUACGCUCCCUGAUGGGUAAGACCACAGUGAAACUUUGUGAGUACAUCAGGUGUGAGCCCAACUGACCCUAAUUUCAACUGGGUUUGUACAAAAAUGAUUGAUUAUGUCUUCAUCACUCUUUCUUUCAUCACUGGCAUACACAUAGAAAAUCAGAUAUCAAAUAGGUUGCCCAGAGAGGUGGUGGAUGCUCCAUCCCUGACGGCAUCCAGGACCAGGCUGAACCAGCCUCUUAGCACCUGAUGGAGUUGUAGGCAUUCCUGUUCACUGCAGGGGAGUUGAACUAGAUGGCCUUUAAGGGUCCCUUCCAACUCAAAUGAUUCUAGGGAACACCUAGCAGAGAUCACCAGUUUAGUUAGCUGAGUCUGCUGUGUGCUGGUGAAUGAGCUGGGAUGGGAUGACCAAGUGCGUGGGUUCUACUGCAUCUCAGGUAUGUGUGCAGCCCCUCUGGGAGCCAGGCCCUGCAUGGUCCCUGGAUGGUGCCUGAUGGUGUCAGGAACCAAACCCAAUUCACUUGGGUGACCCAGGUUACUGCCAUGUACCAAGAAGUGAAAAAGAAAUGUGUUCUUAUCUAUUUGUUCACACCACUAUAAUCCAAAACAUAUUUAGCAUGUGUACAACUUGAAAUAGUAAUUCUCCUCCAUGCAGGAGUGUAUCGAUUUGCAGAGAAGGAAUGGCACUGUCGGAAUAUGGAGCUUUUAUCCCACAGACUUAUUUUCUGCAAGAUGUCAGGCUGUAUAAUCCCGUACAGCUCUCAGCCUGGUUGCCAUUGGAGGGAGCUGACAGUUUUUCAGCAGUUUUUCGAGCUCUACCAUCCCCCAUGAGCAUUUGUUCUCUCUCUGUGUGUAGGUGGAUUGAUUGCUAGGUAGCUCAGUAAAUAGGUUGGGAAAAUAAUACUUAAUUGACUUGAUAUUACAGGUGACUUGAAGGAGUUGGGAAAACAAUGUCGAUUAAACAGCAAGCAUAUAUGUAUGUCUGUGGUUAAUGUUUUUAAGUGCUUUUGGAAGUGGAAAUCUCCUAUCAUUUCAAAUGCUGUUCAGCUCUGGAGUGUUUUUAUUUGUUUGCGUGUGUAUGUAAGUGGUAAACAGAGCUAAAGCUGUAGUUUAAUCAAUGGCUUCUUCAUAAGCCUCAUUCAGAACAGGGCCCAGCUCAGCAGAUGUUGAUGGCUGAAUUUCUAUGAUGUAAAGACCUCUGUCAGAUAUUACCUGUGAUUCUGGAUCUCCUGAGUGCUCAGAUUUCGGCAUGCAACAGCUCAUAGAUGAAUACAGCAAAGUACACCCUUUAAUACUAGCUGUGCUUUGAAUCAUUUCAUGUGGUUGAAUAUUGCAUGAGAAAACUCCUGCAAAUAUGCGGGAUAUCUUAAUACUGUAUUUUCUUGGAACUGCUUGGGUUGAAGUAGAACUUUGUAAUCCAAAUAAUAUGGCAGCUUGAGUGUCCACAAAACAUCUGUCAUUGGCUUCUUACUAAGUGUGUAUUUGUGUAAAUUUAGCAUCCAUGACGUCUCAUAAUAGACCAAGAUCCCACUGUGCUAACUGUUGUAUGAACGCAGAGCAAAGUCUGUAUCCUGCGGAGUCUGCAGUCCAAGUCUCCAUUAGCAGUAGCAAAGAUGCCUCUACUGGUGACAGCAAAGUACACUCAUUUGUUUUGAGAACAGUUUGUGCUCCAAUGUUAGCUCCUAGGUCUGGUUAAUAAAUCACAGGUAAACGCAUACUGAUUUAUUUAUCAGUAUUUACCAAAUACUCUGAGCAAAAACCUACCGCCAUACAGACUGUACAGAGCUGCUCACAGUUGAUUCUUUGUUGGGUAAUGGAGCAAAAUAGUCAUAUGAUAUGGUAUCUGUUCUCCCAUCUGCCCAGUUUCAGUUCCAUUACAGAUUUGUAGGCAGAAUAAUCAGGCUUUUUGCUGUUCUUAAUUGCUUGAAAUACAAUGCUGCUCAAGGUUCCAGAGGAAACAAGCCCUGCUGAGUGAUGUGAGACACAAGCACUAACAGAAAGCCCAUCCUGGCUGAGAAGGCUGUAAAAUUUAGAUGGACAAAUGUAUUAUAGAAGAAGAAAAAGGCAUGUGCAAGCUGAGAUAGCAAAUUAAUUGCAGAGCAGAGAACAGAACUUACAUCUUGUGCCUGCCAAGCCAGUGCCACUUCCUCCCAGCCACAGUCUGGAAUUUGAAAUCUCCACUGCAGCAUUCAGGAUCACACUGGCCCCAUACAUUAUAGAGAAAAACAAAACAACAUCACAGCAAACGAGCAAAAAAUAACCUGAAACUUGCAAUUGAGAACAUAAUGGCUAGACAUAUUUUUUAAUAUAGAAUUCAGACAGUUCUAUCUGGUAAUUCAAUUAGUGAAGGAAGCAUUGAAAAAUAAGAACUCCUUUGAUAGUUCUCCCAUUACAACUCACUAAGAACCCAAAUCCUUGUGAUGUUAAAAGUGUAGUCUCACAGUGACAGUGAGGUCUUUUCAUGAGGCUUUAGGAGGAAGUAAAGACCUGCCAUAAGAACAAAUCCAUCUCUAGGCCCACCAAAUAUUAUUCAUGCAUAGUUGUAUGCAGGUCCAGCUUAAAUAAGGUAUACUUUUGGGAUGCUUAUGUGACUAAUCAGUGUUUUUCAUAUCAUCUGGAUUUUUCUCAUUUGAAAGGCCACAGCAGAUUUUUUACAAGUGCUUCUAUUCUUUUUUUUUUAAGAUCAAAAUACCAAGUGGUAUUUUCACAGCAUACUACACAGUGAUGUGAUGCAUUUGUCCAUUGCUUGUUAAAUGGUCAAGUUUCAAGCUGGCCUCAAGUUAUCCCACUUGGUCCUCAGUGUAAAUCAACACUGCAAUGAGUUACUCUCAUAAUGAUAAAAAAAAAAGUCCUUGCUUCUGAGGCUUAUCUGGGAGAAAAGAAGAAAGUAUUGGUUCUGAAAUUGCCUGGUUACAAUCAGAUUGAGUGAAAAUUGGAAUAUAAUAAAUACCUGAAAUUACAUCUUCUUUGCUUCCUUUUAUGUAUGCUGCUAGCUAGUCGACACACUGUAUUUGCUGGGUUCUUUUCCUGUGUCUGUCGUUCCAGUGAUACAUCAGAGAGACGAGGACAGGGAAAUUUUUGGCUUCUAUGUGGUAUGAUGCCAAAGCUGCAGAAAUAGCACAAGAAGUGUUUCCCUGAGCGCAUACAAUAAGCAGUAAAAACAAAUACCAGACACGGUGGCUCCAAGGACCAUUGACUCUGUUUAUCCCAAGGGUAAUCUAAAGGUUUUAUGGGGUCCACAAUAGCUGUGUAACAUCCAUUUGUUGCUCUUUUUAAUACUGCAGAGUCAGAGUCAAGAGUCAGAGUGGCAAAAAAUAGCUAAAAAGUCCACCUGUACUCACCUGGCAGUGGGACACUAAAAGAGUUGCCACUCCAGGAGUUGCCAUGAAUCCAGAAUGUUGAAUGGAGUCCAUCCUUUCACUUCUUCAGACCUCUCCACUAAGCACUUCUGACCACAGGACCAGGUCUGUGCUUGCCGGAGUGACUGUCUUCCUGCCUUCCGCUUUCUCGAAGGAUAUGAAAGUAAUUCUGUCCUUUUAUAUUUAUCUAUUUAUUUUAAAUCUAUAUGUUCCUAUUUUGUAUGAUAUAUAAUACUAAGGCCUAAUGUUAGCAUUUGGUCAUUCCAGUAGCUAUCUCACUUAGCCAAACAGUGAUGUGGAUAAAAAGGUCUUUUAUAUCCCUGAAUUUCUUGUGUAGACCUAUUGUGCUUUAUUCCUCUCUUGGACUUUUUAUAGUGUUACUGUAUGUUGCUAAGCAGUUACUCCUGUUUUAAGAGGUGGCUCCUUGUUAGGGGUAAGUAAAGGUCUAGAAUAUGCAGGAUUCUUUGGGGAAGGAAACGCUAGUGCUCUUAAGUAAGAUUAUACCAAUUCAGAUUACUGGAGGUAAAAGGGGUUGUACAGUGUGAGGAAGGUAUGGAAUUUCAGAGCAUGCUGUGAAAUUUAGAGGCGUCACUAAUUAAAAGGAAAACAUGUCUAAAUCCCCAUGCCAAAUCCCAUAAACUCUGUUGCAGAGCUAUUGACAGACUUGCUUUAGGCCCAAAGAUAGCGGUAUCUGAAUGAAACCUAGAUCACUCUAAACACUGAAUUUCUAUCAGUGUAAUUAUGUUGGAUACAAUUUUGUAUGGUUGUUGUUUGUUUGUUUGUUUUUUAACUUAUUUUGGUUUUUAUUUAGCUGUUUCUCUAGAAACACUUGAUAGGCACUGUUCACCUUUGACAUUUCUUAAUCCUUUAAGGAUAGGUUUCUGUCCAAGACCAGUAGCAGAUGCGUCCCCAAGGUUCUGUUAUUCAUUUACUAUGAUCAUUUAUUCUGGGUUAUACAUUCAUUUGUGUCAAAACUUACACCGGGCUUUGUUUUUUAUCUGUUUAUUUGCCAUUUUGCUAUGAGCAGAAAAUAUUGAGCAAGAGGUGCUGCUUCUCUCCCCUGGCUUCACAGUUCUUUGUGCACAGUAGGUGCAGGCAAGCAGGAGUGUGAGUAGCGAGAGAGCUUCUGACCACAUUUUUCCAUUGGGCACGGUCCACGGUUGUGCUUUUCUUCCCUGUGAUUAGAAAUAAUUACUGCUGCUUCCACUAUUGUGCAUCAGAGAGAAGAAAGCUGAAGGUAUGUGCCCAUGUAGGUUGAAACAAAAUGAGAAAAUGGAGAAAAGAGGACAGAACUGCUUUUUGAGGCCAAUGGAUGUUGAGUUAAUAGUUGUGCUACUUGCUAAAGAAGUAUUUGUCUAUUCUGUUCGUACCCGCUCCCACCCCAAUCAAUAACAAAUCAACCCAACAGACUCCUGAGACAUAUAGUGUGCAUAUAGAAUGGAGAUAAAAGCAAGUAAGAAACCGCAUUUGCACAGAAAGUAAAUGUUUUUGCAUAGGAAGAUUUUGAUAUGUUUGUAAAUACGGACCCAUUGGCUUUAUUUCUUUCUUUAUUUUCUUUGUAUUUUUAUUUUUGGUGUGUAAUAGAUUUUAUUUUUUCGUAGAUUGCUUCAGCAUGCUAUGCAAUGCAUUGCCACUUUUCUCCCAGUGAGCUGCUAUUUCCAUAUAAAAAGUAGAGUGUUUUACGGUCAAGCAUAUAUUUUUAACACCGGGGAAUUUAAACUGCACCAUGUAUUGUAGAGGCUGCUUAGUGCAAGAGCUUCCACUUGAGAAGAUCAAACAAAUUGGAGAAAUGUUCUGAAAAAAAAAAAAAAGAGAGAGAGGGAGGAUGUGAUUCAGAAAGCAAAAGCAGGAGACUAUGCACAGAAAGAAUCAGCUGUACAGAUAGAUAGAGGCAGGCAGCAAACUAGGUAUGAAAAGGUUCUGGGAACUGUGAUUCCACAGCAUGACCCAAAUUCUUCUCUGGGGACAGGAAACAGCAGUCUGCCUUGGAAACAGGUACUGGGAUGACCCUCUGCUUUGCUUAGUGUUAAUCAGGUCACAUCUGGGGCAGUGCCAUUAGUUCUGGGUGUGGGAUUUUUUCAAGAAUAUUUGGGUCAGGAGGAGAAGAGUUGCAGAAUCAAUUGGAGAUCUAGAAAACAGGAUUUGAGAGGAAGGGUCAAAACAACUCGUGGUCGUUUAGCAGAGGAAAAAGCAGGAUAGAGGGAGAACAUGUUACAGUCUUACUACAAAGAAGGGAGUAAUCUGUUCUCUGUGGCCAUGGUAGUUGAGAGUAGGAGUGAUGGGCUAAAACUGCAGCAAAAAGUGAGUGAGUGCAAUAGCAAGGUCAAGGGGUGCAGGAGGGUCAGGCAUACACAUGCCUGCAUUCAGAAUAAAGCAGGUGCCCAUCUGUCAGGAGCUGCUGUCUCAGCAAGCCAAGGCAGAGAAAGAAGCUAGACAACCUCAGACAGUCCUUUCCUAGAAGUCUGUAUGUUUUAGAUUUCAUUUUAAUGGGUCCAUUUGAUCUCUAGCCCCUUUGCUAGACUGCAGAUGUAGGCCCAGUGGCCAUAUGAUCACUGGUGUGACUCAGAAGCUCUGUGACAGGCAAUUUUCUUCCUUGGGUCUCCCACCCACGCCCAGCUGGAGGGCGAGCUAUCCGAUAAAAGAGCUGUGCGUCUCUGAGUGUCCGUUCCAAUCUUGUCACGGAUAGCGCUGCUCAGUCUGCUCCUAUAAACCUUCCUCAAAAGCAAAUUGGUAGAAUACAUUGAAGAUCUUCCAUGUGGAAACCUGUCAGCCUAAAGCAACAUCUUACUAUCCAGGAAGAGCCACUGUGGGACACGUAACUAUCUCUACAUUGGCUAGCAAGUGGAAAAGAUAACUACAGCCAGAUUUUGUCUGGCAACAGAUGGAUAAAGCUGACUCACUCUUUGUCCUCUUCUCUAGCCAACUCUUCAUUGCACUUUUCUCUUCUACCCUUGCUAGCAUCUGAGGUGAGGCCACAGUUAACCUGGGGAUCUAGAACCAGCAAACCCAAAAUUAGAUGUAAUGAGUGAAGAAAUAGUUUGUUAUCUUGUUUUGCAGAAAGAUUUAGCUAUCCACUGACUGGUGGAAAAAAGAUUAAAUUGGCUUGCUGGUCACUUCCAUCUAUAGAAAAUAUCUAUAGAGCAACAAUCUGUAGAUCCCCAAAUCUGUUCGUAAUUACUGAACUCCUUCAACUAUGCUUUCCUCUUAGAGCAACCUUAGCAUUAGGCUGCAGAGGAAAAAAACUCCUGUUUGUAAGUUGAUUUUCCUAUGAUUUUUCAUAGACUCACAGAACCUUUUAGGUUGGAAAAAACCUCUAAGUCUGACCCCAACCCAUCACCACCAUGGUUACUAACCAUGUCCCUCAGUGCCACAUCUCCAUGGUUCUUUAGACCCUCAAAGGACGGUGACUCCACCAUCAAAGGGAAAGCUGCUCACAAUGGAAAAUUCACCUAUGGAAAGUGUCAAAAUCUAUGAUCUCUUAAAUGUCAUCGUUAGUCCCCCUCCAUUUUUGGAGUGCUCGAUACUGAGUUUUGGAUCCUCAGACAAGUGUGGUCUGCCAAAAAGCCACAGCUGCUGAUUCCCUGCAGCACAGUUUACUCAAACUCUGCUAGUGUAGUAACCAACAAGCAUAUUUGGGCCUCUUUUUUGUUUUCUGCAUAUAUCCUGGCAUAAUUUUAUCCUUGUCUUCUUGGUUUAUAUCUGGGAUUUCUUACCUGGCUUAGAUCAUACUUUCCAGUGCUCAGGAUGGGACAGUUCAGCAUUGUGAUUCUAGUAAAAAGCCCCAGGGGAUAAUUCAGAACAGGAAAAGGAGGCCUGGGGAGUAUUUCUGUGAAGAAGUAUGGUCAGAAGCAUAUUUAGCUGCCCUGUACCCUGCAUAAUGGGAUCAGAUCAGAACCAGCAGACUGGGGAGAGAGCUGAUGGGUGAAACUCAAGCACAGCUUUGCACAACAGUCAUGGGAGGCUUCCUGUGCAGCACCUGGCCAGGCUGGGCUCUGAUGGAUUUGUGGCCCAAAUUGCUGCCUCUGUUUAUCUCUGUGAGUGUGGUACAAAUCCUGGUUAUUAAAAAUCAAGAACAGAAAAUCCAAUUCUAAAUGUAAUAUCAGUGCAGGUCCAAUUGUGAGUAGGUGAAAUAAACUAAGUUGAGACACCAAUGGACAGUUGACUGCUGCACAGUAACACAACACAAUUUAGUACAAUUUUCCACAGUUGAUAUAUGUUGAUCAAUAUAGGGCUCAGAAUUUAACAGGCAUAGAAUUUCAAUUAAACUGAAUUACAGAAGAGUACAGUCAUCACCGUGCUAGAAAAGAGGUGUUUUAGCAAAUGAAACAGACAACCCCACUUUCUGCAUGCUGUGCUGCAGCAGGCCUGUGAAUUAAAAAGUGGGCUUUAGCUUUCAAAUUUUCAUCAGCACUUAAUUCUUAACCAAACCGUAUCAUUAAGGUAAAUUGUUUUUUCUUUUCUUUUUCUUUCUCACCUUUUCUGUUACAAUUGGGGAUAUGGACUGAUUGCCUCUAAACUGACAGGCUCUUUGUUCCAGGGGUGGGCAUGCAGCAAGACAAGCCAACCCUCACCCAGGUGAUUUGAUUCCUUUUUGCUUGUGUUGGCCAGCAGCUGCAGUAUGCUCAGCCAUGCCAAUGCAGGGCUCAGCCAUGUACAUCUGCUGCAUGGUUAACCAUAUAUGCAGGAAAAACUCUCAGAUGUGCAUUUUUGAUGUUCACUGAGAGGCACCAGUGUGAAUGUGCACACUUCAAGGGCCUUCUUGUUUGUUGCUCUUCAUGCAAAUUCUGAUGACUUUAUUUCAGAAGACAUCACUUGGUGAGUAUGUAUGUCCUGGUGUCCACCUACUGUAUCACAGAAUCAUAGAAUCAUUAUGACUGGAAAAGUCAUCUAGGACCAUCCAGUCCAACCCCAACCCAUCCCCAUAGUGCCCACUAACCAUGUCCCUCAGUCUCCACUGUUCUUGAACACCUCCAGGGAUGAUAACUCUACCAUUCCCGUUGGCAGCCCAUGUCAGUACCCAACCACUCUUUUGGAAAAGCUGUUCCUAAUAUCCUACUUGAACCUGCCCUGAUGCAACUUAAAGCCAUGACCUCUCAUCAUAACCUGGGAGAAGAGGCUGACUCCCAUCAUGAAACAUUGCAGAUGCUUAUAGAGUGAGCCCAACGGCUGCCACUUAGUGCUGUUUAUAUUUGUCACAGAAAAUAGCAGCAAGGAAUCAGCUCAUCUCAGUGAAGUAGAUGAGUGGAUUUUGACUGAGGUUAAGAGGCAGAAGCAAAGCAAUAGUCACGAAUGACUAAAUUCAUAGCUCAGGAAAUUUGCAUUGUCAACAGUGUUUUCCAGCUGUGGCAGAAGUGUUUGGGGCAUGCUUCCCCUGGUUGAAUGAGAACGUAGCAUAGCACAACAGACUGCUAUUUACUGAGCUGCUGUUUAGCUCUCUCAAAGGGCGUCUCCUGGAUACCAAGAGGCUGGUCCAGGUUUCCCUGAAGAUGCAGGUGCUUUCAGCUCCCUCUAACUUGUUCUGCUGUGGAGAGCUGUUGAGUGCAGACCAUUUUUUCAGAGCACAAUGCUCUAAAAUGCAAUUGGUGUGAGACAGUUUUUGUGUUUCUGGGCUCUUCCUGGAAACAUCCAUUACCAGCCAGGCCACUAGGGUGCAGGGAAAGGCUAGUAACUGUGCAUGCAGAGCUGACCUAGUGUCUCUGAGUCUCUGCAGGUCACACUGUGCUUCAUUUGAAUGCCCCAGAGAUGGCAGGGAGAUACUGUGAAUGGUGUGACAUAUACAAGAAAUUGCUUUUAUGUCUUAUUAUGAGAAUGUUGUGCAUGCGUGUGAAUAUAGUGCUGGAUUAUCAGCCCUGAAAAAUGUGUCCUCUUAAGAGCUUAAGUAUACUGCUGUGUCUUAUCACUCAUUUGGGAGGACUAGCUUUAGAGGUGAAAAGUAAAGACCUCUCAAUAGGCUGCUGAGUGCCUUGUUUCUCUGCGAAAGUAGGGAACAAGGGUGUCAACCCUGGCAGCAGGCUUUGUCAUGUGGACACAUUUCCACUGGCAAUCAGGCCUAGGACCACCUCAACUUCAGGCAUGAAGUCACAGAGUUGGUCCUCUUCAUCUCCUUUUGGAAAGAGACCUCCUUCAUUUGCAAGUUUCUGGUGAUUUGUGGAAAGUCAGUGCAGUCUCCAGCUGCAGGUGAGCAUUCUGAAGUCCUGGUACCUCCUCUCUCUGUGUCUUGGUGUUGAUUAACAGGAAGAAUAUGCUGUUCCCUGUUCUAUGCAGGUCUGUAAGGGAUCUCACUGCUCCUGUCACGUUUAAAGCCUCCUGCAGCCUUGGAUACAGACAAUGUCACCAUUUAAAGAGCUGUGCUGUGUCUUCCCCCUCAACAGGCUCCUCCUUUUUGAAUACUCAGGGUCUGAUUCUUCUCAGUUUGAAGAUGCAGACAUUGCCUUAUCCUGAAGGGACUUACCAAAGGCUGAUGGAAGGCAACAGGAAUCCAGUGGGUCUUUGACUAAUUCAUACCCAGCCAGGGGAAGAAGGUCCCUGAAAAUCACAGUGAGUCUUGAAAUCACUGCAGUUCACUUUAUCUUUCCUCUACUCAAAAACCUCAAAGUCAGUUCUAUGCAGGUUUAUGUCACAAAGAAACUCAAUCACCGUAUUUCUCAAUUUCUUAAUUUCUCAUGUUUCUUAAUUCCUCUCAUACCGUAAUUUCUUCCUUUUAGAACAGCUCUUGUCAGGGCUACUGUGUCCUGCCUCAGAAUGCAAGCUGCACUUGAAGAGGGAAAAUGCAGCAUGCAACAGACUACUGAUGCCUAGUUAUGAUUUAUACAAUUCAUGAGCUUCCAAUAAUUUACAGACGAAAAACGCUUUAUCCACACUUUGGUGUGUUGAAACAUUCUUUCUACCAUUUAUCUUGAAACUGAUUUUGUUUGGGUAGUGGUGAAUGUUAUGCACAAAGCUGUGAGUGGAAUCUCUAAUGGGGACUGUUAGGCGUGAAGCAAUGGCUGAGCUGUGGUGGACCAAGAGGAUCCCCAAAAAGUUCCCCCCAUGUUUCUCCAGUGUAUUUUGAAGGGUUUAAUUUAUAUUGGAACUGUGUUGUUCUUGCGAUUCCAAUCAAACUGAUAACAAAAGCAUUUAACACUUAGUUUUCUUGCUGUUUUCCCCUUUGAGAAUCUCAGUGAUUGGAGAAGAUUGUGAAUGCUGGAUUUUAGUUUGAAAAUUGCUUCUUCUCCCCUCAUCCGUUUUAUGUGUAUCUGUAUGAGAGAAUCAGCUCUGCAAUUUUCAUUGACUGUGUAAAGAGCUGAGGUCAGCUAAUCCCCAAGGGCUCCUUCCCGGAUUUGGCAAGUGACCAGAAUUAAACAAUACAAUAUCAGAAAUGUUAAAAUCACAAGAAGAGACUUAUCCUGGGGUUUUCUUGAUACUGUAACUAACGAUCAUUCAGACAGCAAUGUGAGGCCAGUAAAUACCAGCCCAAAUUCAUCUGGGGACAACUUGACAAAGAGCUAAUACAACCAGGUUUUAAGUAAAUCAUUUUCUAAGUAUAUCAAUAUAUAGAGGGAUGCUGAUGCAGUAUUUCCAUUAAUUCAAAUAUCCUGAUGCUGAAACUCACCCUUCCUGGGUUUUUCUUUUUCAGCUGUGAGCUUUGUUCUGACCUCUGCCCCUUAAAUAACCUCAUCAGGAGUCAGGGCUGCCAAGGUAUUAAAUAAACCAUUUUCUUUUGUCAU
This is a non-coding RNA of Coturnix japonica (Japanese quail), 24931 nucleotides long. NCBI's taxonomy places the organism in Eukaryota, Metazoa, Chordata, Aves, Galliformes, Phasianidae. The record is from RefSeq and is a predicted model, not a curated record.